Molecule: ribosomal RNA, 1223 nt
Filed under: Limosilactobacillus fermentum
Lineage: Bacteria; Bacillati; Bacillota; Bacilli; Lactobacillales; Lactobacillaceae
Description: bacterial SSU rRNA
Rfam family: Bacterial small subunit ribosomal RNA
Source: RNAcentral
AACGUAAGGUUCUACAUGCGAACUGGCAAUGUGGUGGUAAGCCUCACAUGAGUGUGUCAUCGGUGUGAGUUCUUGCGCCCAAUGAUCGAACGUCAUAUUCGUACGGGAGCGCGACUGUGAGUAUCUCCCACAAGGGGACCAGCGUGAGGACCACCCGCGUGGAGGAAGAGGUUCGGUCUGAAACGCUUUGUUUCUAAAAAGAACAUUAGAGAUUAUUGUUCUUCGUGGACGGUUAUUAACCGAGAAAGUCAGGCUAACUACGUGCAGCAGCCGCGGUAAUACGUAGGUGGCAAGCGUUAUCCGGAUUUAUUGGGCGUAAAGAGAGUGCAGGCGGUUUUCUAAGUCUGAUGUGAAAGCUUCGGCUUACCGGAGAAGUGCAUCGGAAACUGGAUAACUUGAGUGCAGAAGAGGGUAGUGGAACUCCAUGUGUAGCGGUGGAAUGCGUAGAUAUAUGGAAGAACACCAGUGGCGAAGGCGGCUACUGGUCUGCAACUGACGCUGAGACUCGAAAGCAUGGGUAGCGAACAGGAUUAGAUACCCUGGUAGUCCAUGCCGUAAACGAUGAGUGCUAGGUGUUGGAGGGUUUCCGCCCUUCAGUGCCGGAGCUAACGCAUUAAGCACUCCGCCUGGGGAGUACGACCGCAAGGUUGAAACUCAAAGGAAUUGACGGGGGCCCGCACAAGCGGUGGAGCAUGUGGUUUAAUUCGAAGCUACGCGAAGAACCUUACCAGGUCUUGACAUCUUGCGCCAACCCUAGAGAUAGGGCGUUUCCUUCGGGAACGCAAUGACAGGUGGUGCAUGGUCGUCGUCAGCUCGUGUCGUGAGAUGUUGGGUUAAGUCCCGCAACGAGCGCAACCCUUGUUACUAGUUGCCAGCAUUAAGUUGGGCACUCUAGUGAGACUGCCGGUGACAAACCGGAGGAAGGUGGGGACGACGUCAGAUCAUCAUGCCCCUUAUGACCUGGGCUACACACGUGCUACAAUGGACGGUACAACGAGUCGCGAACUCGCGAGGGCAAGCAAAUCUCUUAAAACCGUUCUCAGUUCGGACUGCAGGCUGCAACUCGCCUGCACGAAGUCGGAAUCGCUAGUAAUCGCGGAUCAGCAUGCCGCGGUGAAUACGUUCCCGGGCCUUGUACACACCGCCCGUCACACCAUGAGAGUUUGUAACACCCAAAGUCGGUGGGGUAACCUUUAGGAGCCAGCCGCUAAGUGACAGAUUGG